Molecule: ribosomal RNA, 776 nt
Filed under: uncultured Glomus
Lineage: Eukaryota; Fungi; Glomeromycota; Glomeromycetes; Glomerales; Glomeraceae
Description: SSU rRNA
Rfam family: Eukaryotic small subunit ribosomal RNA
Source: RNAcentral
AUGGUAGGAUAGAGGCCUACCAUGGUAGUAACGGGCAACGGGGUGUUAGGGCACGACACCGGAGAGGGAGCCUGAGAAACGGCUACCACAUCCAAGGAUGGCAGCAGGCGCGCAAAUUACCCAAUCCCGACACGGGGAGGUAGUGACAAUAAAUAACAAUACGGGGUUCUUUAGGAUCUCGUAAUUGGAAUGAGUACAAUUUAAAUCUCUUAACGAGGAACAAUUGGAGGGCAAGUCUGGUGCCAGCAGCCGCGGUAAUUCCAGCUCCAAUAGCGUAUAUUAAAGUUGUUGCAGUUAAAAAGCUCGUAGUUGAAUUUCGGGGUCAGUAGGUCGGUCGUGCCACUGGUAUGAACUGGUUUUACUGAUUCCUCCCUCUUGAAGAACUGUAAUGCCAUUAAUUUGGUGUUGCAGGGAAUCAGGACUGUUACUUUGAAAAAAUUAGAGUGUUUAAAGCAGGCUUUAGCUUGAAUACAUUAGCAUGGAAUAAUGAAAUAGGACGUUUGAUCCUAUUUUGUUGGUUUCUAGGAUUGACGUAAUGAUUAAUAGGGAUAGUUGGGGGCAUUAGUAUUCAAUUGUCAGAGGUGAAAUUCUUGGAUUUAUUGAAGACUAACUACUGCGAAAGCAUUUGCCAAGGAUGUUUUCAUUAAUCAAGAACGAAAGUUAGGGGAUCGAAGACGAUCAGAUACCGUCGUAGUCUUAACCAUAAACUGUGCCGACUAGGGAUCGGAUGAUGUUAAUUUUUUAAUGACUCAUUCGGCGCCUUACGGGAAACCAAA